This 497-nucleotide ribosomal RNA is filed under the name uncultured bacterium. RNAcentral's name for it is "partial 16S ribosomal RNA". It matches the Rfam family "Bacterial small subunit ribosomal RNA", at positions 28 to 507 of the family's 1533-position model. The record is from RNAcentral.
GAUGAACGCUGGCGGCGUGCCUAAUACAUGCAAGUCGAGCGAACGGACGAGAAGCUUGCUUCUCUGAUGUUAGCGGCGGACGGGUGAGUAACACGUGGAUAACCUACCUAUAAGACUGGGAUAACUUCGGGAAACCGGAGCUAGUACCGGAUGAUAUUUUGAACCGCAUGGUUCAAAAGUGAAAGACGGUCUUGCUGUCACUUAUAGAUGGAUCCGCGCUGCAUUAGCUAGUUGGUAAGGUAAUGGCUUACCAAGGCAACGAUGCAUAGCCGACCUGAGAGGGUGAUCGGCCACACUGGAACUGAGACACGGUCCAGACUCCUACGGGAGGCAGCAGUAGGGAAUCUUCCGCAAUGGGCGAAAGCCUGACGGAGCAACGCCGCGUGAGUGAUGAAGGUCUUCGGAUCGUAAAACUCUGUUAUUAGGGAAGAACAUAUGUGUAAGUAACUGUGCACAUCUUGACGGUACCUAAUCAGAAAGCCACGGCUAACUACGUG